This 370-nucleotide ribosomal RNA is filed under the name uncultured bacterium. RNAcentral's name for it is "bacterial SSU rRNA". It matches the Rfam family "Bacterial small subunit ribosomal RNA", at positions 917 to 1289 of the family's 1533-position model. The record is from RNAcentral.
GGGCCCGCACAAGCGGUGGAGCAUGUGGUUUAAUUCGAUGAUACGCGAGGAACCUUACCAGGGCUUAAAUGUAACGGGACAGAUCUAGAGAUAGAUCCUUCUUCGGACUCAUUACAAGGUGCUGCAUGGUUGUCGUCAGCUCGUGCCGUGAGGUGUCAGGUUAAGUCCUAUAACGAGCGCAACCCCCCAUCGUUAGUUGCCAACGAGUAAUGUCGGGAACUCUAACGAAACUGCCGGUGCAAACCGUGAGGAAGGUGGGGAUGACGUCAAAUCAUCACGGCCCUUACGUCCUGGGCUACACACGUGCUACAAUGGCCGGUACAGAGAGCAGCCACUACGCGAAUAGGAGCUAAUCUUUAAAGCCGGUCUC